GCCGUGGCGCUGUGGAGCUGUGCUAGCAGCAGAAGCGGCACCUGUGCCUGCUGCAGUGCUCGCGAUCUGACCGGCCAAGUGGUAGCAGGUGCUCCACAGGACACCACGCAGAAGCAAAGGGUCCUGCAACUGUGAAUUUGGGGGAAUGUGAGAGAAGAGGUGGCCUGCGCAUCGUGACUGUGCUUAUGGGGUAUGAAGCUGUGGGGCACUGAUGGCUCGUGCAUGCUUCUUCACAUGCGCCUUCUUUUCUCGGUGAGGGAUACAAGUCAGCUGCGAGUCCGCAAGUAUGUCAGCAGGGAUGCGGGAGGCGGUGCCUUGCCUUCCAUGCCUUAAAGCCACACAGAAUACUGAAGAUGCCGGGCCAAACUUGCGCAAGCGUCCACAGCAUCAGAGAGCGUGCAGCAACCUACCAACAGGGCUCAAAGGCCCAGACUCUGCAGGGGCUCUUCCGAUGGGACAUUUGCUAAAAAGAAACUCCAAAGCUGCCAGAACUGCAGGCAGUGAAGGACGCCUUGCUUUACCCAUGCACGGUGCCCUGCAGGCUCUUGUGCGUGCUCUCUGGGGCCUGCAGCUUCCCUCAGGACACAUCGACCCGCGCCGGCGUUCUCUCUUCCAAGGGUUGCGCUGCAUUAGAAUUUUGAUUCUGGCGCCAGAACCACCCCCUGCUCUUCCUCCUCCUCCUGCUCCUCCUCCCGUUCCUCCUCCUGCUCCUCCUCUUGCUCGUCCUGACCCCCCAAAGCCUUCCUCCCCCUCCUUCCUCCCGCUCCGACUCUCACCUUGGCCUUUGCACAGCUGUUUCUCACACUUUCUCCUCCUCACUCCCCACUGCUGAGCAGCAGGUUGCCCUGUUUGGCGGUCCUUGCCAAGCAUGCUUUCUCCUAAGGCACCGCCUUCCUGGCUGCCAGGCUCUGCCCUGCACUGCGGCAGUGCCGCUGGAACCGGCAUUGUCACAAUGCAUGGGGCCGAUACCGGCUUCUUCUCAGAGGCCACCAGCAGCCCUUGGUGCCAGCACGUGGGCAAACACCCAGCACGGCUCUAGAGAAACAUAAACAUUUCCUACACGUGAGACCUUCCCGGUCUGGAAGCAGGCAGCCAAUCAGAGGGAGGAAUGAGAAGAUGACAGGGUUUUAUAAACAAAGCUGGCUAAGCCAAUCAGGGAGCGGCACGGCAACAGGGAAUGUGAGAGAAGAGGUGGCCUGCGCAUCGUGACUGUGCUUAUGGGGUAUGAAGCUGUGGGGCACUGAUGGCUCGUGCAUGCUUCUUCACAUGCGC
This is a non-coding RNA of Anas platyrhynchos (mallard), 1272 nucleotides long. Lineage: Eukaryota; Metazoa; Chordata; Aves; Anseriformes; Anatidae. The record is from RefSeq and is a predicted model, not a curated record.